CAAUAGCGUAUAUUAAAGUUGUUGCGGUUAAAAAGCUCGUAGUUGGAUUUCUGCCGAGGACGACCGGUCCGCCCUCCGGGUGAGUAUCUGGUUUGGCCUGGGCAUCUUCUUGGAGAACGUAGCUGCACUUGACUGUGUGGUGCGGUGUCCAGGACUUUUACUUUGAGGAAAUUAGAGUGUUUCAAGCAGGCACACGCCUUGAAUACAUUAGCAUGGAAUAAUAAGAUAGGACCUCGGUUCUAUUUUGUUGGUUUCUAGAACUGAGGUAAUGAUUGAUAGGGAUAGUUGGGGGCAUUCGUAUUUAACUGUCAGAGGUGAAAUUCUUGGAUCUGUUAAAGACGGACUACUGCGAAAGCAUUUGCCAAGGAUGUUUUCAUUGA
RNAcentral lists this ribosomal RNA (380 nucleotides) under uncultured eukaryote. RNAcentral describes it as "partial 18S ribosomal RNA". It matches the Rfam family "Eukaryotic small subunit ribosomal RNA", at positions 592 to 976 of the family's 1831-position model. The record is from RNAcentral.